AAAGAGAAAGAGCGGGUGCGAGCAAGGUGGCGCGGCGGACAGCCAGAAGAAUGGGUGAUGUGAAACAAGUUAGAACAGCCGUCGCCGCCGGCAGCAACAAGUAGGGAGGGCGCCGAACGCAUGGCGUAGCGCGCAGGCACGUGCACUCACUGUGUCGCCCUCCCCACCUCCCACCACGUGCCACCCGCAGACACCGACAGUUACGCUACCUCCUGCUAUAACAUGCGAGCC
Molecule: long non-coding RNA, 231 nt
Organism: Plodia interpunctella (Indianmeal moth)
Lineage: Eukaryota; Metazoa; Arthropoda; Insecta; Lepidoptera; Pyralidae
Exons: 2
Source: RefSeq, a predicted model, not a curated record